RNAcentral lists this ribosomal RNA (255 nucleotides) under uncultured bacterium. Its description in RNAcentral is "partial 16S ribosomal RNA". It matches the Rfam family "Bacterial small subunit ribosomal RNA", at positions 524 to 776 of the family's 1533-position model. The record is from RNAcentral.
UACGUAGGGUGCAAGCGUUUGUCCGGAAUUAUUGGGCGUAAAGAGCUUGUAGGCGGUUUGUCGCGUCUGCUGUGAAAAUCCGGGGCUCAACCCCGGACUUGCAGUGGGUACGGGCAGACUAGAGUGUGGUAGGGGGAGACUGGAAUUCCUGGUGUAGCGGUGAAAUGCGCAGAUAUCAGGAGGAACACCGAUGGCGAAGGCAGGUCUCUGGGCCACUACCGACGCUGAGAAGCGAAAGCAUGGGGAGCGAACAGG